This 379-nucleotide ribosomal RNA is filed under the name uncultured bacterium. RNAcentral's name for it is "bacterial SSU rRNA". It matches the Rfam family "Bacterial small subunit ribosomal RNA", at positions 523 to 898 of the family's 1533-position model. The record is from RNAcentral.
AUACGUAGGGUGCGAGCGUUGUCCGGAAUUACUGGGCGUAAAGAGCUCGUAGGUGGUUUGUCGCGUCGUCUGUGAAAUUCCGGGGCUUAACUCCGGGCGUGCAGGCGAUACGGGCAUAACUUGAGUACUGUAGGGGAGACUGGAAUUCCUGGUGUAGCGGUGAAAUGCGCAGAUAUCAGGAGGAACACCGGUGGCGAAGGCGGGUCUCUGGGCAGUAACUGACGCUGAGGAGCGAAAGCAUGGGGAGCGAACAGGAUUAGAUACCCUGGUAGUCCAUGCCGUAAACGGUGGGCGCUAGGUGUGGGUUUCCUUCCACGGGAUCCGUGCCGUAGCUAACGCAUUAAGCGCCCCGCCUGGGGAGUACGGCCGCAAGGCUAAA